RNAcentral lists this transfer RNA (42 nucleotides) under Hippotragus equinus (roan antelope). Its description in RNAcentral is "partial tRNA-Ala". The record is from RNAcentral. Lineage: Eukaryota; Metazoa; Chordata; Mammalia; Artiodactyla; Bovidae.
GAGGACUUAGCUUAAUUAAAGUGGUUGAUUUGCAUUCAGUUG